CCUCCUCCAACCACUCCGCUUUUCCCCUCCUUUAAUCCCCACCGAGGCUGCGCCCUAGAAACCCUAGAGCCAUCCUCUCCUCCUCCUGUGGCCGCCGCCACGCUCUCCUUUCUCCCCAUCAAUUUUCUUCUCUUCUCUGUGAGCUCACGAAGGAGCACUGCCACCACCUCCCCGCCAUGGCGCCGCCGCUACCGGCCGCCCCUCGAUGAACCGAAGCCACCAGAAGAUCCGCCUCGUCGUCCUCUCCAUCUCCGUUCAAGGAAUCGAGCCGGGGCUCGCUCAAUCAACGGCAAAUUCGCCGAUUCCUCCUCCGUCUCCGGCGAGAUAAUCCUCAAUUCCGGCCGCCCUCGUCCUCCUUCGACCAAACCGAGCCUGCCUUCGUCUUCCUGGACCUCGUCGCCGGCGAACUUCCGGCGGGUUUCCGACACCAUGACCGCCCCCAUCGGGUCCAGCAAGUGGAGGUGCACCCCCGACACCAACUCGCGCAUCCUGGUUCGCCCAGAAUCUCUAGAUUCGUGCUCAUCUGCAAACUUCGCCAUGGAUGACCUCUCUGAGCUUCGUGUCCUCUGUUCAAAAGAUCCGCAGAUGGGCCUGGCCCCAGAUCCGCCUGGCACAGCCCAACUGCCGGCUCGACCCAACACCCAGCUCGAGCCAAUUUCCCCCUGUCGGCCAGCAUUUGCUUCUUCCCAGAUAGGAUCGCGAAGUGGUGUGUGAGAUACGAUG
Lolium rigidum is the source of this 723-nucleotide long non-coding RNA. RefSeq lists it as uncharacterized. The transcript has 4 exons. The record is from RefSeq and is a predicted model, not a curated record. NCBI's taxonomy places the organism in Eukaryota, Viridiplantae, Streptophyta, Magnoliopsida, Poales, Poaceae.